RNAcentral lists this ribosomal RNA (614 nucleotides) under uncultured bacterium. Its description in RNAcentral is "bacterial SSU rRNA". It matches the Rfam family "Bacterial small subunit ribosomal RNA", at positions 28 to 734 of the family's 1533-position model. The record is from RNAcentral.
GAUGAACGCUAGCUACAGGCUUAACACAUGCAAGUCGAGGGACCGGCGCACGGGUGAGUAACGCGUAUCCAACCUGCCCACCACUUGGGAUAACCUUGCGAAAGUAAGACUAAUACCCAAUGGUGAUGGAUGGGGAUGCGUCUGAUUAGCUUGUUGGCGGGGUAACGGCCCACCAAGGCGACGAUCAGUAGGGGUUCUGAGAGGAAGGUCCCCCACAUUGGAACUGAGACACGGUCCAAACUCCUACGGGAGGCAGCAGUGAGGAAUAUUGGUCAAUGGACGAGAGUCUGAACCAGCCAAGUAGCGUGCAGGAUGACGGCCUAUGGGUUGUAAACUGCUUUUAUAAGGGAAUAUGUACCUUAUGAAUAAGGACCGGCUAAUUCCGUGCCAGCAGCCGCGGUAAUACGGAAGAUCCGGGCGUUAUCCGGAUUUAUUGGGUUUAAAGGGAGCGUAGGCCGGAGAUUAAGCGUGUUGUGAAAUGUAGACGCUCAACGUCUGCACUGCAGCGCGAACUGGUUUCCUUGAGUACGCACAAAGUGGGCGGAAUUCGUGGUGUAGCGGUGAAAUGCUUAGAUAUCACGAAGAACUCCGAUUGCGAAGGCAGCUCACUGGAG